Molecule: small RNA, 569 nt
Filed under: Gymnopus sp. FFPRI 460503
Lineage: Eukaryota; Fungi; Basidiomycota; Agaricomycetes; Agaricales; Omphalotaceae
Description: eukaryotic LSU rRNA
Rfam family: 5.8S ribosomal RNA (bases 215-368)
Source: RNAcentral
UACUGUUGCUGGCCUUUUGUAACAAAAAGGCAUGUGCACGUAUUCUCUAAUCUAUUCAUCCACCUGUGCAUCUUUUGUAGGGGUUCUUUUGGAUUGAUCGGUAGAUUUUCUCUACUGUUGAUUUGAAGGGAUUUCCUAUGUCUUAUAAACAAGUCAAGUAUGUUAUUGAAUGUCAUUUACUGGGGACUUUAUUGGACCCUUUAAAACUUUGUACAACUUUCAGCAACGGAUCUCUUGGCUCUCCCAUCGAUGAAGAACGCAGCGAAAUGCGAUAAGUAAUGUGAAUUGCAGAAUUCAGUGAAUCAUCGAAUCUUUGAACGCACCUUGCGCCCUCUGGUAUUCCGGAGGGCAUGCCUGUUUGAGUGUCAUUAUAUUCUCAACUUCAAUAGUUUCUUUAUUGUUGAAGUAUGGAUGUGGAGGCCUUUGCUGGCAUCACUUAGAUGUUCAGCUCCUCUUAAAUACAUUAGUGGAAUUCCCAUUUCGUUGGGCUAUUCUUGGUGUGAUAAUUAUCUACACUUUGGAUCAGUUCUAACAAGCUCUCAGUAGUCAGUGUACUUUUAUAGUAUAUU